This 76-nucleotide transfer RNA is filed under the name Serratia marcescens. RNAcentral describes it as "tRNA-Gly". It matches the Rfam family "tRNA". From Rfam's summary of the family: Transfer RNA (tRNA) molecules are approximately 80 nucleotides in length. Their secondary structure includes four short double-helical elements and three loops (D, anti-codon, and T loops). Further hydrogen bonds mediate the characteristic L-shaped molecular structure. tRNAs have two regions of fundamental functional importance: the anti-codon, which is responsible for specific mRNA codon recognition, and the 3' end, to which the tRNAs corresponding amino acid is attached (by aminoacyl-tRNA synthetases). tRNAs cope with the degeneracy of the genetic code in two manners: having more than one tRNA (with a specific anti-codon) for a particular amino acid; and 'wobble' base-pairing, i.e. permitting non-standard base-pairing at the 3rd anti-codon position. The record is from RNAcentral. RNAcentral also lists the same sequence under 2 other names. Lineage: Bacteria; Pseudomonadati; Pseudomonadota; Gammaproteobacteria; Enterobacterales; Yersiniaceae.
GCGGGAAUAGCUCAGUUGGUAGAGCGCAACCUUGCCAAGGUUGAGGUCGCGAGUUCAAGCCUCGUUUCCCGCUCCA